CCAAUAGCGUAUAUUAAAGUUGUUGCAGUUAAAAAGCUCGUAGUUGAAUUUUGGGUUUGGCCGAUUGGUCCGUUCUUGUAACGAGUACUGGUCGGUUGGGCCUCACCGCCUGGUGAUGCGUAAUGUCCUUUAUUGGGUGUUGCGAGUAGCCAGGACCUUUACCUUGAAAAAAUUAGAGUGUUUAAAGCAGGCUUAUGCCGGAAUACAUUAGCAUGGAAUAAUAGAAUAGGACGAUGAUUCUAUUUUGUUGGUUUCUAGGAGCAUCGUAAUGAUUAAUAGGGAUAGUUGGGGGCAUUAGUAUUCAAUUGUCAGAGGUGAAAUUCUUGGAUUUAUUGAAGACUAACUACUGCGAAAGCAUUUGCCAAGGAUGUUUUCAUUAAUCAAGAACGAAAGUUAGGGGAUCGAAGACGAUCAGAUACCGUCGUAGUCUUAACCAUAAACUAUGCCGACUAGGGAUCGGGCGAUGUUGUUUCAAUGACUCGCUCGGCACCUUAUG
This 496-nucleotide ribosomal RNA is filed under the name uncultured Glomeromycotina. Its description in RNAcentral is "partial small subunit ribosomal RNA". It matches the Rfam family "Eukaryotic small subunit ribosomal RNA", at positions 591 to 1092 of the family's 1831-position model. The record is from RNAcentral. Lineage: Eukaryota; Fungi; Glomeromycota.